GGGCCAGGCCGCAGGCUACACAUGCAAGUCGAACGGUAACAGGAAGCAGCUUGCUGCUUCGCUGACGAGUGGCGGACGGGUGAGUAAUGUCUGGGAAACUGCCUGAUGGAGGGGGAUAACUACUGGAAACGGUAGCUAAUACCGCAUAACGUCGCAAGACCAAAGAGGGGGACCUUCGGGCCUCUUGCCAUCGGAUGUGCCCAGAUGGGAUUAGCUAGUAGGUGGGGUAACGGCUCACCUAGGCGACGAUCCCUAGCUGGUCUGAGAGGAUGACCAGCCACACUGGAACUGAGACACGGUCCAGACUCCUACGGGAGGCAGCAGUGGGGAAUAUUGCACAAUGGGCGCAAGCCUGAUGCAGCCAUGCCGCGUGUAUGAAGAAGGCCUUCGGGUUGUAAAGUACUUUCAGCGGGGAGGAAGGCGAUAAGGUUAAUAACCUUGUCGAUUGACGUUACCCGCAGAAGAAGCACCGGCUAACUCUGUGCAGCAGCCGCAA
Molecule: ribosomal RNA, 496 nt
Filed under: Enterobacter hormaechei
Lineage: Bacteria; Pseudomonadati; Pseudomonadota; Gammaproteobacteria; Enterobacterales; Enterobacteriaceae
Description: bacterial SSU rRNA
Rfam family: Bacterial small subunit ribosomal RNA
Source: RNAcentral